UGAGAUGGAGGAAGUAAUUAUUAUCGUUCUUGCUUACUAAUUAAAGUCAAAUUUAGUUAUCUUUAUAUAGUUGUUCGCUAUCUAUAUCUGAUGUCGCAAGUACAUAGUGCAACUCAUGUGUAUAUUAUUGACUAUUGAGCAAUACCGUAUCUUGAAAAACAAAAAUAUAUAAAUUCAGCUGUCAUCUAAUUGUUAAAAUCUAUUUAGACUAAUAAGCUUAAUUAGGAUCCCCU
RNAcentral lists this long non-coding RNA (233 nucleotides) under Salvia miltiorrhiza (redroot sage). Its description in RNAcentral is "long non-coding RNA (SMIL_LNC013258)". The record is from RNAcentral. Lineage: Eukaryota; Viridiplantae; Streptophyta; Magnoliopsida; Lamiales; Lamiaceae.